GAUGAACGCUGGCGGCGUGCCUAAUACAUGCAAGUCGAGCGAACAGACGAGGAGCUUGCUUCUUUGACGUUAGCGGCGGACGGGUGAGUAACACGUGGAUAACCUACCUAUAAGACUGGGAUAACUUCGGGAAACCGGAGCUAAUACCGGAUAAUAUUUUGAACCGCAUGGUUCGAAAGUGAAAGACGGCCUUGCUGUCACUUAUAGAUGGAUCUGCGCUGUAUUAGCUAGUUGGUAAGGUAACGGCUUACCAAGGCAACGAUGCGUAGCCGACCUGAGAGGGUGAUCGGCCACACUGGAACUGAGACACGGUCCAGACUCCUACGGGAGGCAGCAGUAGGGAAUCUUCCGCAAUGGGCGAAAGCCUGACGGAGCAACGCCGCGUGAGUGAUGAAGGUCUUCGGAUCGUAAAACUCUGUUAUUAGGGAAGAACAGAUGUGUAAGUAACUGUGCACAUCUUGACGGUACCUAAUCAGAAAGCCACGGCUAACUACGUG
RNAcentral lists this ribosomal RNA (497 nucleotides) under uncultured bacterium. Its description in RNAcentral is "partial 16S ribosomal RNA". It matches the Rfam family "Bacterial small subunit ribosomal RNA", at positions 28 to 507 of the family's 1533-position model. The record is from RNAcentral.